GAUGAACGCUGGCGGCGUGCCUAAUACAUGCAAGUCGAGCGAACGGACGAGAAGCUUGCUUUUCUGAUGUUAGCGGCGGACGGGUGAGUAACACGUGGAUAACCUACCUAUAAGACUGGGAUAACUUCGGGAAACCGGAGCUAAUACCGGAUAAUAUUUUGAACCGCAUGGUUCAAAAGUGAAAGACGGUCUUGCUGUCACUUAUAGAUGGAUCCGCGCUGCAUUAGCUAGUUGGUAAGGUAACGGCUUACCAAGGCAACGAUGCAUAGCCGACCUGAGAGGGUGAUCGGCCACACUGGAACUGAGACACGGUCCAGACUCCUACGGGAGGCAGCAGUAGGGAAUCUUCCGCAAAGGGCGAAAGCCUGACGGAGCAACGCCGCGUGAGUGAUGAAGGUCUUCGGAUCGUAAAACUCUGUCAUUAGGGAAGAACAUAUGUGUAAGUAACUGUGCACAUCUUGACGGUACCUAAUCAGAAAGCCACGGCUAACUACGUG
Molecule: ribosomal RNA, 497 nt
Filed under: uncultured bacterium
Lineage: Bacteria
Description: partial 16S ribosomal RNA
Rfam family: Bacterial small subunit ribosomal RNA
Source: RNAcentral